This 245-nucleotide ribosomal RNA is filed under the name uncultured bacterium. Its description in RNAcentral is "partial 16S ribosomal RNA". It matches the Rfam family "Bacterial small subunit ribosomal RNA", at positions 524 to 768 of the family's 1533-position model. The record is from RNAcentral.
GACAGAGGUGGCAAGCGUUGUUCGGAAUUACUGGGCUUAAAGGGCGCGUAGGCGGUGAUAUAAGUCUGAGGUGGAAUCCUGCAGCUUAACUGUGGGACUGCCUUGGAAACUGUGUUACUUGAGUCGAGCAGGGGAAGGCGGAAUUCCAGGUGUAGCGGUGAAAUGCGUAGAUAUCUGGAGGAAGGCCUGUGGUGAAGACGGCCUUCUGGGCUUUGACUGACGCUGAGGCGCGAAAGCGUGGGGAG